Molecule: ribosomal RNA, 439 nt
Filed under: uncultured bacterium
Lineage: Bacteria
Description: partial 16S ribosomal RNA
Rfam family: Bacterial small subunit ribosomal RNA
Source: RNAcentral
CUACGGGGGGCAGCAGUGAGGAAUAUUGCACAAUGGGGGGAACCCUGAUGCAGCAACGCCGCGUGGAGGAUGACGCAUUUCGGUGUGUAAACUCCUUUUAUAUGUCAAGAAAAUGACGGUAGCAUAUGAAUAAGCACCGGCUAACUCCGUGCCAGCAGCCGCGGUAAUACGGAGGGUGCAAGCGUUACUCGGAAUCACUGGGCGUAAAGGACGCGCAGGCGGGUUGGAAAGUCAGGUGUGAAAUCCUACAGCUUAACUGUAGAACUGCACUUGAAACUUCUAAUCUAGAGUAUGGGAGGGGGAGAUGGAAUUAGUGGUGUAGGGGUAAUAUCCGUAGAUAUCACUAGGAAUACCUAAAGCGAAGGCGAUCUCCUGGAACAUUACUGACGCUAAGGCGUGAAAGCGUGGGGAGCAAACAGGAUUAGAUACCCCGGUAGUC